GCCUACGGGGGGCAGCAGUGGGGAAUAUUGCACAAUGGGGGAAACCCUGAUGCAGCAACGCCGCGUGAGUGAAGAAGUAUUUCGGAAUGUAAAGCUCUAUCAGCAGGGAAGAGAAUGACGGUACCUGACUAAGAAGCCCCGGCUAACUACGUGCCAGCAGCCGCGGUAAUACGUAGGAUGCGAGCGUUAUCCGGAUUUAUUGGGUUUAAAGGGUGCGUAGGCGGUCCGGACAUGCAGCGGGAAAAGCCCG
Molecule: ribosomal RNA, 250 nt
Filed under: uncultured bacterium
Lineage: Bacteria
Description: partial 16S ribosomal RNA
Rfam family: Bacterial small subunit ribosomal RNA
Source: RNAcentral